UUUUUUUUUGCAGUCUACUGCAGUGUGCUAGCUUAUAGGAACUUACAUGAUUGAGUGGCUAAAACUUGGACUCAAGAAUGGCCUACAGGCUGUGGAGAACAGUUUGGUGGUUCCUCAAAUAGAUAAACACAGAAUUACCAUAUGACCCAGCAAUUCCACUCCUACGUGUAUACCCAGAGAAUUGAAGCAGGGACUCAAACAGAGGAGCACGUGACCAUCCAGGCCGAGUUCUGUCUGAGCCCCAAUCAGAAUCUCCAGAAGGGACACUGCUUUUGACCAGCCUUGCAGAAUUUCUACAGCCCAACAUCCGCAUCUCUUUUGUCAACACAUUCUCCCCACCGAUGCUCAAUGUCACA
Long non-coding RNA from Loxodonta africana (African savanna elephant), 356 nucleotides. RefSeq lists it as uncharacterized. NCBI's taxonomy places the organism in Eukaryota, Metazoa, Chordata, Mammalia, Proboscidea, Elephantidae. The record is from RefSeq and is a predicted model, not a curated record. The transcript is spliced from 3 exons.